Molecule: non-coding RNA, 4052 nt
Organism: Podarcis muralis (Common wall lizard)
Lineage: Eukaryota; Metazoa; Chordata; Lepidosauria; Squamata; Lacertidae
Source: RefSeq, a predicted model, not a curated record
UCUGGUAUCUAAAGAUAUGCAAUGAAGGCACCAGGUGAGUCUUGCUGGGGAGAGCAUUUCAUAAUUGGAGAGCCACUGCAGAAAAUGUCCAUUCUUGUGUUGCCAUCCUCCUGAUCUCUCGUAGAAGAGGCAGACAAAGAAGGACCUCAUAUGAUGAUUGCAAGAUCCAGGUCAGUUCAUAUGGAGAGAGGCAGUUCUUGAGGUAUUGUGGUCUUGAGCCGUCAGGGGGGUACUUAAGGGUAUGCAGUACCGGCACUGCUCUUUUGUUGUUGUUAAAAGUGUGGCACUUACCGUCACAACUUCAUGGUACAUAACAGAACCUAUUUUUCUAGAAAAAAAGCACUGGAUACAUUAUUUAAAACAUGCAACAAAUUCAACAGCCACAACACAACCAAUUAUUACAUAUUUAAAACCAACCCAGAUUUCAUUCCGUCACAUGGGCCAGAAAGGUAGUGCCUGAUGGGAGCUUUAGUACUCUCUUCUCCUUUUUCCUACUGAAUUUGAGAAUUGACUUGAGACUUCUAUUCUGAAGUAUAAACUGCUUUGUAAAGACUGCAGAAGCAGAAGUAAGCAACCAUUCCUUUUGUUACGCCUGCAGUUUUCUAAAUGGUGGCCAUUUCUAAUGCAGUAUAUACUCCAAUCCCUGAUAAAAGUCAACAUGUAAAGGCUUAGAAAAGAAAUCAUUGUUCUCAAGAGGCAUUCAUGUGUUUGCACACAAUAGGGCAGGCCAGCUGGGAGUGCUGAUCCAAUACUGAACCUGGCAGGAAUUAUGAUUCUCACUAUUUUCCACAUGAUCAACCACUGUGCACCAAAAAUGCUUUCCCCCCAGUAUUGUGUACUCCCACAAUUUCUUAACUGUGCUGAAUUCAUCCUGACAUGAUUUUCAGAAGAAGUUUACAACAGCAUUACUACAUAGAAUUGCCAUAUUUCAAACAGUGAAAAAAAGUUGUUGAGCUUUUGGGGCAAAAAUUCACACACAAAGCUAGUUUUAUGGAAAAAUGGCAAAAGAGGCUGCCAUACGUCCAGAUUUCCCCAGACAUUUCCCCAAUUUCUGCCCGGACACUGCUGCCAACUGCAGUAUUCUGGAUAUGUCCGGGGAAAUCCAGACGUAUGGCAACCCUAAGCACACAGGAUUUGUAGAGGAAUAAUGGUUUUAUUUAGUGCCCCCCCCAAAAGCAGGAUUGAACAAAACUGAGCAGCUGUGAGUUGCAUCAGCCCCCACCCCAUAUUGCCAAUUAGUGCUCCUUUCCUGGCACUAAAUAGAAUGGGAGACUUCAUAAACUCAGAACAAAUAAAAAAUAUUGACAAAGUACCAUACGCCAGAAGUCAUGACACAGUAACCAUCCACAGAAUAUCCAUGACAUUCAUGCAAUCCUAAUCCAUAAAAUUUGUGAGAUAUUGUGCUGUCUUUCUUCACGAAAUACUGGACUUGUUAGCACUAAAAACUACUUCAUAUGCUGGGGAAUGAGAGCUCCGCAACACAGAGGAAAAAAUUAAGAACUCCUGUGAAUAAAGUCAGUGUACAAAUUGAAACAAUAAACUUUACACAGGCAGUUAAAACUCAUGUCCUAGUAUACCUUCUUUUUUUUUGCAACUCUAGGUAAUUAUGGAUAAACAAUUUAAAAGUUACACUUAAUAAAUAAAAUAAAACACAUGGAAGUAGUCUUAGUAAAUAAAUGGAUACAUCACCUAGCUGUAGUAUCAAUAUUUAUAGCCAAUUUAGUGCCAAGGGAACCAACUAUUGUGAUAAAAGGAAAAGGAAAAAGCGGCUGCUAGAAACACAACACUGGUGUUGUUAGGACACCAGUACCUAUUUUUAUGUCAUUUCUGCACAAAACAGCAGUGCCCCUUGUUUUACUUUUAAUUAUUUUGAUCCAGCAGUUGCAGUUGGGAAGAGGCGUUGAGGACUAGUGACUCAUCUCCGACUAAAAGGUGGAGCUUCCCUCCAGGAACACCAUUAUUCUCACACGUAUACAGUUACAAGCAAACAGCGCCUGCUGAGCCAGAAGGGGAGAACUUCUUAACUUUCGUUCGCUUUAUAAGCGCCAGAAACACCACCCCCGUCCUCACUAGUUAGCUGGGAGCAAGCGAGCUCUGCCGUUCCACCUUAAAUCCCUUAUCAGCCGCUCGUCGCGCUGACCAAUAAUAUCCUUAAUCCUAGGGGGGAGGAGCAACGAGAAAAAUAUGCUAAAUAAUUGUGAUUCAUUUGCAUAACUGUUGAAACGGCCAAUAUGCGGAUUGGCCGGCGGGGGAAAAAAAGCAGCUCGGCGCAUCCGGCCCCCUGCUUCCCGGUAGGAGGUGUGGCCAAAAGGGAGUGGGAGGAGAGAUCGGUGCUCAUUUGCAUAACGGCCAAACGUAUGCUGUAGGUUGUGUUUUUUUGAAUCGGCGGCGGCAGCGGAGGCAGACGGCAGCGACCGUGGGCAGAGCUCUAAAGCGCGGGCGGCGGCGGCGGAGGACGCGCGCGCAGGUACCACUCGGACUCUGAAGGGCAGGGAGGGAGCGGGGCUGCUGGGUACGAGUCAGGGCUUGCGUCGGAAACGGCGGCAACCAGCGGCAGUUUUACCAGAAAGCAACUGGACUAGUCACCCUCAGGCUGCGUUUUGUCGCGCGGGGAAGGCUUCUUCUUUUCUCCCGGAUUCCUCCAACCUGCUUCUCACGGAUCUCGGCUGCUCUGGAGGCUCCCUGCGGCGCUCUGCUGCCCCCAGCGGCAGCUGCUGGUUGCUUCUUUCCCAACCCCCACCCACGCGCUGCCUGUCUGGCCGGGAGGAGGAGGAGCCCUCCCUGCUGGCAGGAAGUGCUUACUCCCGGACAUGCGCAGUGCGUAAGCGCGCGCGAAGCCCUCGCCUGUAGCUCUCGUGGGGUGGAGAGGCGCCACGAGGAGCUGAGGCUUCCGUUCGCUUUGCUUCUAAGCACACGAGGACAAAUAAGCUGGAAUUCGGAGCAAUCGGGAUUUAGAGCAACAUGCAUAAGAUGUUUCCAACUUAAUCCUCACAACAAUCCUGUAAGAAACACAAGACAGCCGUACUUCCAGACUUGAGGUAAUGCUGAGGUAUGUACAAGCUCAGGAACAAAUCUAAGGAACAAAUCUAAAGGGGGGAUGGGACCCUGCCCCAGCAUUUAAUGAAUCAAUAGGAUGGAUUGUGGAGACUGAGACACUGUGGGGGGUGGGCAGUGGAGUAGAAUUGUGUGGCUGGAACCGGAAGACAAAAACAUAUAAAGAGUAGAAAAGAUCAGUUCGUUGUUUGGAUAGAAGCCAUUUCUAUCCAAAGUCAUUUAGUUUUAAAUUACUCUGGGAGCAGAAGAUAGAGCUGCUCAUAGACAUCAGUGAAGAGAUUAUAUAAUUUAAUGUACAGGCAAUCCUUGUUUUGUGCAGGGGUUAUGUUCCCCCACGGGUGUUGGCAGAAGACAUCCCCCCACCCCCCCAGCCUAGGCUUGUGCCCCGGGAGGUCACUUUGGUUCUGCUAACACAGCAGUUUGACUUUACCCCUCGGAGGCACACCCUCUUGAGACAGAAGGAUGCCAACAAAAACAUGCCUGUCGUUUGCCUGUCCUAAACUCCUUUGUGAGUCUUUCCUUCUUUGUGAGAAGAUCAUGAAUAUAAUGCAGAAUCUUUUUUGCACACUCUAGAUUAUCACCAUUUUGAUGUUUAUAUUCAGGUUCUUUCUUUUUAGAUAUAAUUUUUUAUUAGUUUUACAUAUAAUCACAUUGCGUAACAUCAUAUCCUCUUAUUAAAUCUCUUUGGCUCAACUGCGCCUAACAACGUCCCCUCACUCCCGCCUUACAAACUUAAAUUUUGUAUCUGUGCAUUUCACUUCCUUUCCUAUUCUUGUUGUAUCAUUACCUAAGUUAUUACAUUACUUAUCCUGAGUAGGUAGUAAUUUCAUCUUACAAAUCUUCAGGUAACACUGCUAGUGAUGUUAUAUUCAGGUUCCUUCUAUUUGGACUCUUUUUGGUUAGUGUUGUGUAUUGCAUUCUACUAACUGCUCAGGACCGCAAUACCUCAAGGACCUCCUCCCCAUAUAAACCAAACCAGGCUUUUGUGCUCAUUAUCU